GCACAGAGCCCACUUUGGAUCCUCUGUCCCUUUCUCUCUGUCCCUGCCCCACUUGUGCUCUCAAAAAUAAAUAAAUAUUAAAAAAAAAAAGAUAACCUUCCCUAAACAUCAUUUUUCUCUGCUGGGCCUGUAUAGGUGAUGAAUGACAGGCAAUUCAAGGUAACAGUCUCUGAUAAAGGGCCAGAAGACCAGCAUCCCACAGACGAUUUAUUCCAAGAGCAAGGAAAACAUCAGAACCAAUUCUCACUGCUAUUCAUUACUACGUGCUUAGAAUGUGCCAGGCACCAGCUUCACAUAAACUGUCUGCUUUGAUCAGGUCAAUGACUCUGAGGCAGGUAACAGUGUUACGGAACCAGGCUGGAACGCUGGCGGAAAAGCCAAGUGGCCCUCAGAGAUCUUGAUGAAGAUUUAUUUUACACCGGCGGGCUCAGAGGAGACUGUUUCUCCAAAGGUCUGGGGGUGGGACUAGAAAUUCCAGUCCUGUCAUCAGCUGGCCCAAUCUCAGAUCUGACCCACAAAAGAAGAAGCAAACAGAGAGGAGACGAGUAACUCAGGAAAAAGAAGAAGGCAUGUGUGUGACCUUGGCAACAACCUGUUUUCAAGAGAACCAAGGGGAGCACAUAGAGAACACGACAGAACACAGGCAAGUGAUGGAUAAACAGAAGUAGAAGGGCCUGAGGCAGCUGAGCCGAUGGUGGAUUGAGGGGUGCAGGGUGGGGAGAGGGAUGUCCUUGGCCCUGCUAAAUGAGUAUGGACAGAACAGGAUUUUAGUACAGGGCCAUAAAGUCCUGACCAUAUGGGAUUUCGGUCCAUUUUUCCGGUCAGACUUUCCCAUCCGCUAGUUUGUGUUGAGGCCAACAGUAUUAACAAAAGAGGCCAACCUUGGAAGGAAGCAUACAAGGUGUCCUUUUUAAGCCUUUCCCCAUGUCGACUGAAAGAGAGAGCAGGAGAAAGUGACUGAGCAGCUCUCCAGCACAAGGCAGACAAGGAUUGGAGAUAUGGAUGGAGAGGGCCCCUCAACCUGCUGUCACCUUGUCUCUUCAUCGUUGCCAAAAAGAUGUUGCCAGGUGAACUGGGGAGACCCCGGGCCCUGGGGCUUGACCCAGCCAGACCCAAAGAAGUCACCAAAGGCUCUUGGUCAUGUCACAAGAAAGAAUUCAAGGACAUACAUGCAGCACAGCAGGAAAGUUUAUUAAAGCGAAAAGUACACUCUG
This is a long non-coding RNA of Leopardus geoffroyi (Geoffroy's cat), 1214 nucleotides long. RefSeq lists it as uncharacterized. The record is from RefSeq and is a predicted model, not a curated record. NCBI's taxonomy places the organism in Eukaryota, Metazoa, Chordata, Mammalia, Carnivora, Felidae. The transcript has 3 exons.